RNAcentral lists this ribosomal RNA (420 nucleotides) under Bacillus sp. (in: firmicutes). RNAcentral's name for it is "bacterial SSU rRNA". It matches the Rfam family "Bacterial small subunit ribosomal RNA", at positions 1016 to 1439 of the family's 1533-position model. Lineage: Bacteria; Bacillati; Bacillota; Bacilli; Caryophanales; Bacillaceae. The record is from RNAcentral.
UCCUUCGGAGCAGAGAGACAGGUGGUGCAUGGUUGUUGUCAGCUCGUGUCGUGAGAUGUUGGGUUAAGUCCCGCAACGAGCGCAACCCUUGAUCUUAGUUGCCAUCAUUAAGUUGGGCGCUGUAGGGUGACUGCCGGUGACAAACCGGAGGAAGGUGGGGAGGACGUCAAAUCAUCAUGCCCCUUAUGACCUGGGGUACACACGUGCUACAAUGGGCGGUACAAAGAGAAGCAAAACCGCGAGGUGGAGCUAAUCUCAAAAAACCAUUCUCAGUUCGGAUUGUAGGCUGCAACUCGCCUACAUGAAGUUGGAAUAGCUAGUAAUCGCGGAUCAGCAUGCCGCGGUGAAUACGUUCCCGGGCCUUGUACACACCGCCCGUCACACCACGAGAGUUUUAACACCCGAAGUCGGUGGGGAACC